RNAcentral lists this long non-coding RNA (11483 nucleotides) under Capsicum annuum. Its description in RNAcentral is "long non-coding RNA (CANN_LNC021185)". Lineage: Eukaryota; Viridiplantae; Streptophyta; Magnoliopsida; Solanales; Solanaceae. The record is from RNAcentral.
UGCAGUCAUGCGCUUCAAAUAAACCAAUCUAUACCACACUAUAUGAUACUGUCAUGUUAUAUGGGACAGGAGAAAACUGUUUGCAAGCUGUUUUGAGAACUUCAUACCUAAACGUAACCCCACAAUCUCGUCAAGAGAUUAAUUGAAACACAGAAAAAAAGCGAAAUUGACCUAUAAAUCCAAGUUCCAUUGACAGUAGGUAUUCAAAGAGACAUACAACAGUGACGCUCCAUUUCCACGAGGAGAACAAAAUAAGGCCAUUCCUUCUAAAUAAACAUACUAAGAUACCUCAUUAUUGCAUUCAUCUUCCUAACCCGAUCAUGUACUGGCAACAAGCUCAAGAGACAAGGAAGGAUAAAAGAUUCGAAUCCACACAAAAAAAAGACAUAGUAGAUAAAGCUAAAGGGAAAGUGGCCGGGCACUACUAUCAUCCUCAUCCUCUUUUGUCAAACUCAAAUGAGUUCUAAUAGCCAAAAUGGUCAUCGAGGAAUCAUGGGAUUUGUCAGUUUUUGUCGAGCUUAUCCUCAUCAUUCUUUGUUAUUUGGGAAGCCAAGGAACUCAUGGGGAAGUCUCGAAAAACAAGACGACGUUAAAUACCAACAAUGAAAAAAACACCCUCGGCCCGAAAACUAUCAAAACAAGAAUAAAACAUGAAACUUUAAAAUAACACAAGCUAGAGCAGGGCACCAUCGACCCAAAACGAUCAAAUCACGCAACAUUAAACCCUGAAGCCAACCAUGACAACAUACAAGCAGCUCGAAACGACUAAACAAAAUCAAAAUUUAGCCACGAAACUAGCCUUAACAAUAUACCAGUAACUCAAACCAAAAUCAAAAGCAUGAAACUUUAAAAGACAAACCAGCCUUAACAAAAUACCAGCAACUCAAACAGAAUCGCAGAACAUAAAACUUUAACAUAAAGUCAGCUAUACAAACCUUAAGCAUUUCACAAAAAAUGAGAGUAUUAAAUCAAAAAUCUACCAAAACAACUACCUACGGCUAUCAAAGCCAUCUACCAGCAAACAACCCAGCAUACAAUUAUACUAAAAAAUUUAUUCACGACUAUAGAAGAUCGAGAUGAAGCAGAAACAGAUGAAGCUUAAAUGGAAAAGGGUAUUACCUUUUAGGGAGCAGCAAAAUAGGACUCGAUCUAUCACCCGAUUCGCACCACCGGAGAAAGGCCUAGCAGCUACUUCGAACAAUUUCGACGAGCUUCAAAUUUUUACUAAAAUGAAAGAAUUUAUCGAUUUUGCUCAGAAUGGCUCACUUUUUUCCCCUCUUUAGACCUAGUUUUUCUAAGAACUCCCCCAAUCCAAAUUUUCUCAACCCCCUCGACUUUCGAAUACCUUUGCUUCCAAGAUUUUGAACCUAGAAAGGAGAGGCCAGCCCCCCAAAAAAAAUCUUCCCAAUUUCGAACCGUCAAAAGACCAUCCGAAAUUUCAAACCCCAGAACCUCCAUCCUAGGAAGAAGAGAAAAUCCUCCGAUUUUCCCCGAAUCCAAAAAGGAAGAAGCCAAAAAAAUACCCUUUUUCAGCUCAACAGUGAGCUCUUUAUAUAGAAGUCAAUUGAGGGUAAUUUAGGGAUUCCCUUUCCAAAGAUAAUUCAAAAUUUUUUAACUCCCAAUCGGGUUCCCCUAAUAAAUUGUACCGAUUUCCAAAUCGGUGGACCAAUAAUAUUUAGCCAAAACGGAUUUUCACCAUGAGCCAAUAAAAUUGUGACAUACAUGUACGGAAUCGUACUCCCAUACCUGAGAUUCACGGAAUUGAUACGUUGAGAGGACACCUCGACUUAUUUAUAGAAGAUUCAAGGGUUUUCUUCACAUGAACUUACGUGGGACGCGUGAAGGAGGCUACAAACGGGUUGGUUACGGGGUGUUGGUUGUGAGAAUCGGGUUUAGGGUUGCAGGUGAGGUUGGUUCGUCUUGAAAAUGGGUCGAAGGGUUUAGGUUUUUGUGAUGUUGUCGCGUCUGUUGAGGGUUGGUGUUGUUAUGCUGAAGGGGGAGAUAUAACGGAAUGGGCCGGGUCGGAGGUAGUUUGGGCCUGGGUUGAGACAUAAAAUUGGGCUGGUGAAUGGAGGUGUGGUGCUGGGCUGGGGUAAUUUGAAGAGUGGGCUGGGUCAAGUUUUGAAUGGGCCGCUUGUGGUGGGUUGUUGCAUUGUUGAAAGAAAAUGGGCUGGUUUGGUUGGAAUUGAUAAGAAUUUGGGGGUUAUUUAAAAUAUAACCCCCAAAUAAAAUUUAGGAUUUGGCCAAAAUUAGUCAAUAUUUCAAUCCAAUUAAAAAUUAGAUUGGUCACAUUUCAUUGCAAAUAUGACCAAUUAAUUUUAAUUAGGAUUAAAUUUAAUAGUUUGACUAAAUUGAAUUAAAAUUCAAUAAAUAUCUUUUUUGAUCUCGCGCUUCUUGAUUUAUUAAAAUUACACAAAUAUUUAUCCAAAUAAAUUAAUUUUUGAGAGUAAAAUAACAUUCAAAUAUAAAUUUUAAUCAUUUGAAUUUAUUUUCGAUAUAAUCCUUGAUUAAAAUACGCUAUUCUAUAAAAUAAGCAUUUAAAGAAUAAAAUUAUAAAAUUUCGUAUAAUUGAACACGAUAAUAUAUAAUCACUGCUUAAAAUAUCAAUUUACCCAAAUGAAUACUUUGAAAAUCCUUUAUUUGGAUAAAAUAAAUGUUGUAAUUUUACUUGAAAAUCGAAGAAACCCCGGAUUAAACUUAGUUAUGGAGGUCAAAAAUUAGGUGUCAACCACUGCCCCCGCCCUUUGGGUAGGGUGGAUGCAAGUAACCCUGGGCAAAGGAAGGUUAACGUUACUAAACUUUGUCCGACCACAAAUUGGAAUUCGAAAAAGGUUGACUUUCGCACGAGUUUCAUGGAGUUAUGGCUGAACCUCGGUAUCAGGUUUCCUACAUAUAUCAGGUUACAUGAGAAUUCAGGCCACUUGUAGUUCACAAAGCUUGAUUUUAAGCAUAAUUUUCAAGAAAAUUCACCAACUAUCGCGGUUUUAGAGCUUUUGAUAAAUCUAGAAGCUGGGGAAUAAAAGAAUUUGGGGGGAGGUUGGAAUGCAGUCGAGUUUUCUUCGUAGAGCCCAGCCUACAUAUCCCCGAGACUUUAGGGAAUCAGACUGCUUGUAGUUCGACUCGAGAUAAGUGAAAGAAAGGAAAGUUUACCCUCGAUAUAAGUUUAGCAAUAUCCCGAAGGUAAAGCUGAAACCUGAAUAUCUCAGAGUUCCCACAUGCCUUCUAACAGGGGUGUGGUUGGAUGGUGGUGGUGAUCAUCCUUUAGCUCGCGUCCAAAGAGUUUGACGUCCAUCUUUAGACUAUGUCCCGUUUCGCUGUUAAGAAAGAGUUCCACAUUGUAAUGCGUCCUAUCUGAAGUCUUCUGCACCUGUGGUUUUGAUUUGAGAUUUUCAUCCUCUCGGAUGCUCUCGACAAUGCUUCAAGCAAAAAGUGUUAGUGCUAAACAUAAUUUAUGAAAGAGAUAUAUGGUAUUUUACCAUAUCUCCACGUGAGUUGUGGCCUGAAAAUCAGAGUCAUAUCUUCAUGUACCUAUUUGGUAUAAAAUAACUGGCAAAAACACAACAACCCUUUUGGUUGUUGUAUAAUUAUGACAUUUGUCGGUUGAAUAUGUCUUCAAAGUGGGGUGGCCCUUUUAGACACUGACGAUACUUUAUGCAGAACGGCCACUACAAUCGUGUAAUCUUGUAUUGAUGAGGAAACCUUUUUGGUCACCUAUAAUGCUUGUUGUAUGUGGAAUUAUAACUUCUCCGGUUAUAGCCGAUGAUCGACUUAUAAAUUUUUCUUAAAUUGUCAAUCUUUGGAUAAUCUUGCGUAUUAUUUGAUGUUGGAUACAAGGUGACUUACAGGUAUCUUUUGAAUUUCUAGAUUUUAGGUAAUCCUGCACAUUAUCCGACCUUGGAUAAGAGAUGGCUUACAGAUAUGCCUCCAAUCGCUAGCUUUCAGGUAUUCCUGCACAUCAUCCGACCUUGGACACAAUAUGACUUAUAGAUAAUCUCUCAAAUUGUGUAAUCUUACACAUAAUCGAUCUUAGAUAUGAUGCGACUUAUAGAGAGCCCUUGGACGUAUCAAUUUAAUAUUCUUGCAUAUUCUUCGGUAAGGAUUUAGUUGCGACUUAUGGAUAACCUUUGAACUAUCGAUUUUUGUGUGAUCUUGCACACUAACCAGUUAGGAUGUUGUUGUGGCUAACGGAUGACCUACAUGCUAUCAAAUCAUAGGUGAUCUUGCAUACUAUCCUAUUUCAAAUAAUAUGACUUAUAGAUGACCCUCAAAUUGUCAAUUUCUAGGAAAUCUUAUAUAUCAUUCAUCCUUAGAUAGCGACUUAAAGGUGUCCCUUCAAAUCGUGUGCUCUCGAUGCAUUCAGAUGUUGAUUCAUAAAAUGAUAAGAUAUCCUCGUUGCCAGUAUUAUGUCUUGUGUCUCAACAGAUAUAAAAUAAUGAUGAUAUCCUCGAUGCUAGCGUUGUGUCUUACGUGUCAACAGAUAUAUCGAAUGCUGAUGAUAUCCUUGACACUAGUGUUGUGUCUAGCGCGUCAAUAGAUAUUGAAUAAUGAUGAUAUCCUCGACGCCAGCAUUGUGUCUUGCGUGUUAACAGAUAUAUGAAUGAUGAUGAUAUCCUCAACGCCUGUGUUGUGUCUAGCGUGUCAACAGAUAUAUUGAAUGCUGAUGAUAUCCUCGACGCCAGCAUUGUGUCUAGCGCGUCAACAGAUAUUGAAUGAUGAUGAUAUCCUCAACGCCUGUGUUGUGUCUAGCGUGUCAACAGAUAUAUUGAAUGCUGAUGAUAUCCUCGACGCCAGCAUUGUGUCUAGCGCGUCAACAGAUAUUGAAUGAUGAUGAUAUCCUCAACGCCAGCGUUGUGUCUUACGUGUUAACAGAUAUAUGAAUGAUGAUGAUAUCCUCGAUGCCAGCAUUGUGUCUAGCAUAUCAACAGAUAUAUUUAAUGUUAAUGAUAUCCUCGACGCCAGCAUUGUGUCUAGCGCGUCAACAGAUAUUGAAUAGCCUUCUUAGGUGAUGGUAUAAGAUGGACCUCUUGGCGAUAAUAUGCAAUGGUCCUUUCGACAAUGAUAUACAAUGGCCCUCUCGGCAAUGAUAUGUAAUGGCCCUUUCAACAAAUGACAUGCAAUGACCCUCUCGGCAAUGAUAUGCAAUGGACCUCUUGGCAAUGAUAUUCAAUAACCCUCUCGGCAAUGAUAUUCAAUGACCCUCUUGGCAAUGAUAUGAAAUGGCCCUCUUGGCAAUGAUAUGCAAUGGUCCUCUUGGCAAUGCUAUGCAAUGACCCUCUUGGCAAUGAUAUGAAAUGGGUCUCUUGGCCAAUGAUAUGAAAUGGCUCUCUUGGCAAUGAUAUGCAAUGGUCCUCUUGGCAAUGAUAUACAAUGACCCUUUUGGCAAUGAUAUGAAAUGUCCCUCUUAGCAAUUUAAAAAUAGUUUCACCUGAGUUUGUUUGUCUGCGACUUGCUUUUUACAUGUACCUGUACUUGAAGUAGACGAUUAGUAAACACAAAGUCGAUUUUGAUAGCGACUAUUUUUCAGAAAAAUUCUAAAUACAAUGUUCGUAAAGAAAAAAAGACGUCUUUGUUUGUCCUCCAUGAUCUCAAGAAAUGAGAUGGACAAUUCAAAUGGUCCUCGAUUAAUGGGUAUUAAAUCCAUUUUUGAGCUACCCAAAAAUACCGUUCUUAAGCAUUAUAUGCUCUGGCAUGGCUCCCGACUUGCUCAAGGAUUUUUUGAAAGAAACGCUCAUUUUGUAUAUCAAUCCCUGUAUCUACAAAAAAAUUAUUAGUUUGAAUGAAACUACUCCGUGUUGACCUUCUUCGAUUCUCCAUUUGCUCCACGCCAUCUUUUGGGUACUUUGUCAUGUUGGGACUUUCACCCUUGAAUCCCCGUCCUAAUUGAUGUCAGGCCAAUCAUUAAGUUAAAGACUUUCAUAGAUUUUUGAAAGUUGUCUUAAUUUUUAGAAAAUAGUUUCGAAAACUCCUGCAAAAAUCUAGAAAAUCUCUGCCAGUUAUGUCAUGUGCUAGCUCAACGACCAUCUUUCUCUUGAUUCUGACAAUAUCAUAUAUUUGAUGGAGGAUUGCUGGGGAUUCAGCAUUGUCGAGGCUUUCUACUAGAAGUUUUAUCCUAGACUUUAUCCCAGGUGGUGAUUCUCAAAUCUCAACUUCGACCUCUAGUGCUGGGGAAUUUAAAAUAUAUUUCAGUAUUUGGUGAAAAUUUUAAGGCCUCCCUCAAAAUUUCUGCCCUAGUUUAAAGUAGUCUAAGAUGAUAUCAUUUUGAGUGGAUCUGCAGUCUUUGCUGAUCUUCAUUCUCUUUGUUGGAUGUUGAUCUUCUCUUGUGAAUUUUUGAGAUUCCUUCUCGAAAAUUCUGCCCCAGUUUUCAUUUCCUGGGGUUAUAUGACCGAGCCGUUGGGGCACCUAUGUAUCCCAUUGAAGCAGAAAUCAGGUCAAACGUAGUUCAAGACUACGCUAGGGAUAUAUAUAGAAAAAAUCUAAUGGGUUCACCGAAGCCGUCAUAGACCGCCUACGUAUCCCUUUCUAGGGAAUUCAAGUUAAACGUAGUUUGUAGAUAACGGAAAAGGAUAAAAUUUUCUAAAGGGUUGACCGAAGCCGACAUAGGCCGCCUACGUAUCCCAUUCUUGGAAAUUCAGGUCAAACUUAGUUCGUACAUAAAGGAAAAUGAUUCUAGGCAAUUACACAUCAUAAAAUUGAUACUAUUAUAAAUGCGGUUAUAAAUAAGCCAAGAAAUAAAAACUAUAACAUCUUUCAAGCAUGAUAUAUCUUUACCGCAUCAGAAUUGAUUGGUUUGGUCCACUCUUGACCAUCCAUCUCAUGUAGGAUUAGGGCUCAUCCAGGUUGGGCUUCUUUUGAUUUUCACAUUUCUCUAUAUCUACUACUAACCGCUCCUCAUCACCUUUUCUAUUCAUCAUUAUUUCCUUCGCCUUGUUCGUCUAACCCUUGACAUGACAUGACAUUGAUAGGUUUUUUAAAUUAUUGUUACCAAAAUAAACCAUGCUAGAUAAUCAUAUUUAAAAAAUAACUUCUUAAAUAAAGGGAGGCCUUUUGAAAAAUAAAUAAAAACCAUGGCUUAUGACCCAGACAAAUAUGGGCCAAUGCCUUUUUGAGAGUUGUAAAACACGAAAUAAAAAUUUGAGACAUAAAAUAAUGGAUCACGAGGCCUCCUCCGGAUCAUCACUGAUUUUAAAAACUAUUAGUAAUUUCCCUUUCAUCUACCGCGACGGACGACGAAUUAGGAGCGGAGUGGAAGUCCAAUUUUGUAAAGCCUCUCUUGGUGCAACCUUCUUCAUCCCACCAAACUUUGGGAAAUCAUCUGGUAGAGCAUUUAGAUACUAAUUACUAAAUGCUUCUUCUAUUGGCCUUCGCGCUCUUAGCUUCGCCCAUUUCUUAUAUUGGUGACAUCCAUUGACGUUCAAACUGUGCCUUAGAUGCAACCUCCCAAAUUGAUCAAUUUCUUGCUUAACUUACUUCAGUUCUUCUUACGAAAGUAAGCAAAUCAAGCUUUUUCCCGACCCCCAAAAUAUAAUGGAUUGAAUUAGACAGGAAUAUAUUUUCUUCAACACAUAAGUAUGGUUUGUCUAUAAUUGACUCGAGGUCAAUAUACGCAGGAAAGAUUUUCUAGUAGGCCCAAUACCCCGUUCGAGUAUUAGGUCGUCCUAGGCUCAUGCCUAAAAUAGGGUUUUGAUUUCGUUCUAUCCUAAGUGUCUACAAUGGGUAUGAACCAGGUUCUCAAGCGGACAACUUGAGUUUGAAAAUACAAACAGCCAUCGGAUGACUCAUGUGCUAAUAAGCCAUUUGUAUUUCCAAUACAUUAUUGGAAUUGAACAAUAGGGGCUGGGACAUCCACGAAACCCCAAAACAGUUUAAAUAAUGCAUGAAAAUGCCAUAGGAUGCGAUAGUUGAAAUUUACAAAAUCAAAACAUAUAAACAGUUAAUCAAAAGACAAAAUCAAUCAUUUGGUUAGAACCUAGUUAUAUAUCCCCAGCAGAGUUGCCAUUUCUGUUUUGCGGAGAAAUUUUGACUUUUGAAAGAAUCGCCACUUAAUUUUGGAAAGGAAUUAAGAAACCUUUAUAAAAGUUACCUCAAAUGAUUCAAAAUAGGAAAAUCGUUUUAAUUUAGAGAUUCUAGAUAAGCGGUUCCUAUUAACGUUUUAAGAAGGUGUUACGCACCUAAAACGUCCACUAACUUGCGGUUAUCUGGACUGUUUGAAAAUCAUCUUUGACUAACUUUGGAAAAAAGUUGAUUUCUACAAAGAAAAGCAAUUUUAGUGAUAUUUUAGUAUUUAUGCAAAACCAAUUUUUAGGCGACUUAGUUAGGGAUUUUAACUAAGUUCGCAAAGAAACAUGUAAAUAAGUAAAUGAAAGGAAAAGGGGAGAAAAACGGGGAAUUAGUGAUUUAGGCUUUCAAGCCCAAACCAUCGACCCUUUCCUAAUCUAGUUGGGUUUUCAACCUAUUUCACAUGUCUUAGUCUAGUUUUCGAGCCUUUGGCUCGAGUCUCACUCCACCUGCAUUAAAUUUACAACUUUGGCUUCGAGGCCCAAAUGAAAUAAAGGAGUAAAUAAAUAAACAAAUAAAUAAAAGAUGACAAAAUAAAUAAACAAAUAAAAGAAAAGAAACGUUCUAAUCCCUUGGCCGCUUCAAAGAUGGGAUUUUUAUCCAUUAUUCCUCUUUCGACUUCUCGUAUCCGCAUGCCACGUGCUCAACUUUGGGCUUUCAUUCGGGCUUGACUCGGAAGGAUAGGCCUCAUUGGCUCAUUUAUGAAAUGCAAAGAGAGAAGAAGCCCAUUUGGGCUCCAAGGGGUGUGCAUGCAAAGAAAAGAUAUAUGAAUUAAUACGCGUUCAUAAAAAUGAAUUACUUUUAUAACCAAAAAAAUUCAGAAAGUUCAAAGCUGUUAAAAAAAAAUCACUACUUCGAUACAUAAAAGGAAACUUAGCUACUAGAUUAGUGAUAUAUACGAAAUGCAACUGUGUUUAAUUGGUUUUGAACUUUUAACAUAGAGAUCAAAGAUAACACGCCAUAUUAUGCUGGACUUUGGCAUGAAAGUAUGCAUAUGCAUGAAAGAAUUCUAGUAAAAGGUCACUUUUCCUAAUCGCAUGUGAUGACCAUUAGAUGAGAGCAUAGGACGUAAUGUUGGUUUUGUUUGUUGCAGUAGAGGGAUGCUAUAACAUUUGUUAAAGGACCGUACAUUAAUAGUAAAUCGUAAUCCAUUCCUUUUGACAAAAGGAUAGGUUCCGGUGCUUACUUUUGAGAAGGAAUACACAGAAACUAAGAAAAUUUUAUCAGUUGGCUAUCAAAACACUCAACUGGAAUACAAAACUGAAGAGCUGAAGAUAAUUCCCAAAAAUAGAUACUUAAAUUUAUGCUACAAAUGAACCAAGAUAAGUUCGUUUCACCUCUUUUCUUGUAUGUUGUACAGUAUACAGGACAAUCCAAUCAACAAAAGCAAAGAGGGUCUCACUUAAAUCAAGAACACUAUUAAUUUCCAACACUAAAAUCGAAAUGCAGUCAUGCGCUUCAAAUAAACCAAUCUAUACCACAUUAUAUGAUACUGUCAUGUUAUAUGGGCAGGAGAAAACUGUUUGCAAGCUAUUUUGAGAACUUCAGACCUAAACGUAACCCCACGAUCUAGUCAAGAGAUUGAUUGAAACAUAGAAAAGAAGCAAAAUUGACCUAUAAAUCUAAGUUCCAUUGACAGUAGGUAUUCAAAGAGACAUACAACAGUGACGCUCCAUUUCCACGAGGAGAACAAAAUAAGGCCAUUCCUUCUAAAUAAACAUACUAAGAUACCUCAUUAUGCAUUCAUCUUCCUAACCCGAUCAUGUACUGGCAACAAGCUCAAGAGACAAGGAAGGAUAAAAGAUUUGAAUCCACACAAAAAAGACAUGGCAGAUAAAGCUAAAGGGAAAUUGGCAGGGCACUAUUAUCAUCCUCAUCCUCUUUUGUCAAACUCAAACGAGUUCUAAUAGCCAAAAUGGUCAUCGAGGAAUCAUGGGAUUUGUCAGUUUUUGUCGAGCAUAUCCUCAUCAUUCUUUGUUAUUUGGGAAGCCAAGGAACUCAUGGGGAUGUCUCGACAUACAAGACGACGUUAAAUACCAACAAUGAACAAAACACCCUCGGCCCGAAAACUAUCAAAACAAGAAUAAAACAUGAAACUUUAAAAUAACACAAGCUAGAGCAGGGCACCAACGUUAAACCCUGAAGCCAACCAUGACAACAUACAAGCAGCUCGAAACGACUAAACAAAAUCAAAAUUUAGCCACGAAACUAGCCUUAACAAUAUACCAGUAACUCAAACCAAAAUCAAAAGCAUGAAACUUUAAAAGACAAACCAGCCUUAACAAAAUACCAGCAACUCAAACAGAAUCGCAGAACAUAAAACUUUAACAUAAAGUCAGCUAUACAAACCUAAAGCAUUUCACAAAAAAUGAGAGUAUUAAAUCAAAAAUCUACCAAAACAACUACCUACGGCUAUCAAAGCCAUCUACCAGCAAACAACCCAGCAUACAAUUAUACUAAAAAAUUUAUUCACGACUAUAGAAGAUCGAGAUGAAGCAGAAACAGAUGAAGCUUAAAUGGAAAAGGGUAUUACCUUUUAGGGAGCGGCAAAAUAGGACUAGAGCUAUCACCGGAUUCAUCUCCACCGGAGAAAGGCCUAGCAGCUACUUCGAACAAUUCCGACAAGCUUCAAACUUUUACUAAAAUGAAAGGAUUUAUCGAUUUUGCUCAGAAUGGCUCACUUUUUCCCCCCUCCUUAGACCUAGUUUUCUAAGAACUCCCCUAAUCCAAAUUUUCUCAACCCCCUCGACUUUCGAAUCCCUUUGCUUCCGAGAUUUUGAACCCAGAAAGGAGAGGCCAGUCCCCAAAAAAAAAUCUUCCCAAUUUUGAACCCUCAAAAGACCAUCCAAGAAUUCGAACCCCAGAACCCCCAUCCUAGAAAGAAGAGAAAAUCCCUCGAUUUUCCCCAAAUCCAAAAAGGAAGAAGCCGAAAAAAUCCCCUUUUUUUGCUCAACAGUGAGCUCUUUAUAUAGAAGCCAAUUGAGGGUAAUUUAGGGAUUCCAUUUCCAAAGAGAAUUCAAAAUUUUUUAACUCCCAAUUGCAUUCCCCCAACAAAUUGUACCGAUUUCUAAAUUGGUGGGCCAAUAAGAUUUAGGCAAAACGGAUUUUCACCAUGAGCCAAUAAAAUUGUGACAUAUAUGUACGAAAUCGUACUCCCAUACCUGAGAUUCGCGUAAUUGAUACGUUGAGAGGACACCUCGACUUAUUUGUAGAAGAUUCGAGGGUUUUCUUCGCAUGAACUUGCGUGGGAUGCGUGAAGGAGGCUACAAACGGGUUGGUUACGGGUUGUUGGUUGUGGGAAUCGGGUUUAGGGUCGCAGGUAAGGUUGGUUCGUGUUGAAAAUGGGUCAGCGGGUUAAGGUUGUUGCGGUGUUGUCGCGUCUGUUGAGGGUUGGUGUUGUUAUGCUGAAGGGGGAAAUAUAAGGGAAU